CAUGCCGUAAAUGAUGCUCGCUAGGUGUUUCUUCGAAUUUAUUCGAGGGAGUGCCGUAAGCUAACGCGUUAAGCGAGCCGCCUGGGUAGUAUAGUCGCAAGACUGAAACUCAAAGGGAUAGGCGGGGGAACACACAAGCAGUGGAUUGCCUCGAUUAAUUGGAUAAUAAGCCAAGAAUCUUACCUAGGCUUGACAUCCCGAGAAUUUUAGCGAAAGUUAGAAGUGCCUCGCAAGAGGAGCUCGGUGACAGGUGC
Molecule: ribosomal RNA, 254 nt
Filed under: uncultured bacterium
Lineage: Bacteria
Description: partial 16S ribosomal RNA
Rfam family: Bacterial small subunit ribosomal RNA
Source: RNAcentral